GUGCUCGCUUCAGCAUCAUAUAUACUAAAAUUAGAAGGAUAAAGAAAAGAUUAGCAUGGUUCCUGCACAAGGAUGACAUGCAAAUUCAUGAAGCAUUUUAUAUUUUU
Nycticebus coucang (slow loris) is the source of this 107-nucleotide small nuclear RNA. NCBI's taxonomy places the organism in Eukaryota, Metazoa, Chordata, Mammalia, Primates, Lorisidae. The record is from RefSeq and is a predicted model, not a curated record.